UACCGCGGUUAGACGAGAGACCUGAGUUAAUGUUCCACGGUAUAGAGUGUGGUUAAAGAGAACACAACUAGAGUCGAAAAUUUUUUAAAUUGUUAUAAGUAAAUGAAAACAUGAAGCACUAACACGAAAGUAACUCUAAACUACCUGAAACCACGACAGUUUUAACA
RNAcentral lists this ribosomal RNA (167 nucleotides) under Lepidogalaxias salamandroides (salamanderfish). Its description in RNAcentral is "partial 12S rRNA". Lineage: Eukaryota; Metazoa; Chordata; Actinopteri; Lepidogalaxiiformes. The record is from RNAcentral.